UACGUAGGGCGCAAGCGUUUGUCCGGAAUUAUUGGGCGUAAAGAGCUCGUAGGCGGUUUGUCGCGUCUGCUGUGAAAACCUAAGGCUCAACCUUGGGCUUGCAGUGGGUACGGGCAGACUAGAGUGCGGUAGGGGUGACUGGAAUUCCUGGUGUAGCGGUGGAAUGCGCAGAUAUCAGGAAGAACACCAAUGGCGAAGGCAGCUCUCUGGGACGGUA
This 217-nucleotide ribosomal RNA is filed under the name uncultured bacterium. RNAcentral's name for it is "partial 16S ribosomal RNA". It matches the Rfam family "Bacterial small subunit ribosomal RNA", at positions 524 to 739 of the family's 1533-position model. The record is from RNAcentral.